Molecule: non-coding RNA, 73 nt
Organism: Crenobacter luteus
Lineage: Bacteria; Pseudomonadati; Pseudomonadota; Betaproteobacteria; Neisseriales; Neisseriaceae
Source: Rfam
UCCCUGAUAGCUCAGUUGGUAGAGCGACGGACUGUUAAUCCGCAGGUCGCAGGUUCGAGCCCUGCUCGGGGAG